RNAcentral lists this ribosomal RNA (467 nucleotides) under uncultured bacterium. RNAcentral's name for it is "partial 16S ribosomal RNA". It matches the Rfam family "Bacterial small subunit ribosomal RNA", at positions 28 to 507 of the family's 1533-position model. The record is from RNAcentral.
GAUGAACGCUGGCGGCGCGCCUAACACAUGCAAGUCGAACGAUUAAAGCACCUUCGGGUGUGUAUAAAGUGGCGAACGGCUGAGUAACACGUGGGCAACCUGCCCCUUUCAUUGGGAUAGCCACGGGAAACCGUGGAUAAUACCGAAUACUUCGAGACUUCCGCAUGGAAGACUCGAGAAAGCUCCGGCGGAUAGGGAUGGGCCCGCGGCCUGUUAGCUUGUUGGUGGGGUAACGGCCUACCAAGGCAAUGAUGGGUAGCUGGGUUGAGAGACCGACCAGCCAGAUUGGGACUGAGACACGGCCCAGACUCCUACGGGAGGCAGCAGUGGGGAAUCUUGCACAAUGGGCGAAAGCCUGAUGCAGCGACGCCGCGUGCGGGAUGAAGGCCUUCGGGUUGUAAACCGCUUUCAGCAGGGACGAGGCGAAAGUGACGGUACCUGCAGAAGAAGCCCCGGCUAACUACGUG